AUAGUUUCCUUUACAUAUACAUGAAUUUCAUCUGAGUUAUCCUACUCUAUAUUAAGCAUCAACAGAUAUUUUGAUAUUUAACCUUGAAAGUUGCAUUGAGGCUAUUGAGAAAUACCCCGAAGAAUAAUUGGUGAAAUAGCUUAACUAUUUAUUUAUGCAAAUAUUUUCUUAUAUCUGCCCUAAAUUCACAAUUGCAUGAACAACCUAUAUGCAGAAGAUGAGGUGAAAUUUCUUUGAUUCGGUGUUUCAUCCCAUGUAAUCACAAACAUUGCAUACCAAUAUUAUUUAAAUCUAAAAUCAAACUUUAGCAUAUAUUAACAAAAUAAAUAGACUUGUUCAUCAAUAUGUCUGAUAUACAUAACUAUACAUAACUCUGUUAUGUAUCAGAUUUGAAAUAAUUAUAGCUUUGUUAUUCAUAUGCAUAGCAUAUUUAUGUAUCACCAAUGAAAUAAAACAUGUUUGCAUAAGAUAAUCAAAUCAUAUACAUAUCCAUGUUAUGUAUUAGAUUUGAUUUAACUUCAGUUAUUACAUUCUUAUACAUGACAUGGUUGUGUAUAAUGCGUGAAAGAACAUCAUGGCAAUAAUGAACUCCAAUCCUUGAGAAAAUACGUAAAGUCCUCCUCAAACUUGUCUCCAAAACUCACUUUAACACUAUGACUUUACGAGCAUUUAAAUUCCCCCUUAAACAACUUUAAAGUAAAUUAAAGUCUAUCUUAUACAUACAACAUCAAUUUCAUUGUUGAGAGGUGAUACACACGCGCGCCACAUAGGCUCCACCUCAAUGAUACAUGAACGACACGUCAGAUAAUGAAGAAAUUCAAUUUUCAUUUUUUUUUUCUUUCUCCCAUAUCAUUAUUUAUUCUUAUUUUCACUAUUCAUCUAUCUUCUUUAUUAUCCAUCUUCUUCACCAUCUUUGUAAAUACAAAGGUAAAAUUUAACCUUGAUAAAGAAAAUCUAAUACUUACAAUAUAAUUUCUAUUAAUUUGACAAGAUGUGUGUAAAAUAAAGAAAGGGUGAAAUACAAAUAUCAACUUGAAAUUGGAGUUGAUGGUACUUUUUCUCAUACACUUGCAAUGUCACUCAAUUUUCUUGUUUUCUUUCUGACUUACUAUUUUCAUAUUUCUAUUUCUUCCCUUUAAAGCUAAAUCUUAAAAAUCAUGUUUUUUGAGUUAGUGAAGAACACUCGGCGACUGCUGCAAUGGCGAUUGUUGGAGUUUGACACAAAACACGGCAUGCUGAAUAUUUUCAAAUCCUUCACGGAGGUUGGCCUUAAAAGUAAAAAGUACAAACUUUAUAAAAAGAAAGAAAAUAAAAGAAAAAGAAAGUCAAGAAAAAGAACUUGAUUGGCAUUUUGUCCACGGUCUCACGAUGGCUGAUCGCUCGCGGAGUUCUUGGCAAUGACCAAGGAGGUACAAAUGGGGCUGAUGUGAGGUCCGUGGUCAUUGAGCUUUGUUGGAUCGUCAUCCAUGUUUUCAAGGAGGUUCCGUCGAUAGUGAAAAAGAAAGAAGAUUUGAGAGGAAGAAGGGACGGAACAGGUUAUUGGAAAGAAGACAAAGUGGGGCCCACUUGAUUUUUUCUCUUUAAUUUUUGCUAUUUACGCACUGAGAAUUAUCUGAUUUGUCGUGUCACCUAUUAAGAUGGUAAUUAAUUCACUUUGAAGUUAUUUAGCCAGGGGAGGGGGGAUAUAAAUACUCGUAGAGUUACAAUGCUAAAGUGAGUUUUGGAUAUAAGUUUGAG
Molecule: long non-coding RNA, 1737 nt
Filed under: Capsicum annuum
Lineage: Eukaryota; Viridiplantae; Streptophyta; Magnoliopsida; Solanales; Solanaceae
Description: long non-coding RNA (CANN_LNC021240)
Source: RNAcentral